This 597-nucleotide ribosomal RNA is filed under the name uncultured bacterium. Its description in RNAcentral is "bacterial SSU rRNA". The stretch from base 1 to 514 matches the Rfam family "Bacterial small subunit ribosomal RNA", at positions 338 to 873 of the family's 1533-position model. The record is from RNAcentral.
CCUACGGGAGGCAGCAGUGGGGAAUCUUGCGCAAUGGGCGAAAGCCUGACGCAGCCAUGCCGCGUGUAUGAUGAAGGUCUUAGGAUUGUAAAAUACUUUCACCGGUGAAGAUAAUGACUGUAGCCGGAGAAGAAGCCCCGGCUAACUUCGUGCCAGCAGCCGCGGUAAUACGAAGGGGGCUAGCGUUGCUCGGAAUUACUGGGCGUAAAGGGAGCGUAGGCGGACAUUUAAGUCAGAGGUGAAAUCCCGGAGCUUAACUUCGGAACUGCCUUUGAUACUGGGUGUCUUGAGUGUGAGAGAGGUAUGUGGAACUCCGAGUGUAGAGGUGAAAUUCGUAGAUAUUCGGAAGAACACCAGUGGCGAAGGCGACAUACUGGCUCAUUACUGACGCUGAGGCUCGAAAGCGUGGGGAGCAAACAGGAUUAGAUACCCUGGUAGUCCACGCCGUAAACGAUGAUUGCUAGUUGUCGGGAAGCUUGCUUCUCGGUGACGCNGCUACGCAUAGACAUCCGCCGUGGGAGGUACGGUCGCGAGAGUAAACGUACGAAGAAGUUAGUAGNGUUGAGACGNGCCGACGGACGACGACGAGGGAGGAGG